GAGUUUGAUCAUGGCUCAGGAUGAACGCUAGCGGCGUGCUUAACGCAUGCAAGUCGAACGAUAGGCCUUCGGGCUGAAAGUGGCGAACGGGUGAGUAACACGUUGGUGACCUACCUCAGAGAGGGGGACAACCACUGGAAACGGUGGCUAAUACCCCAGAUGUUUAUGUGUUUAGAAGGCAUAAACCAAAGCUCCGGUGCUCUGAGAGGGGCCAGCGUCCCAUCAGCUAGUUGGCGAGGUAAAGGCUCACCAAGGCGAAGACGGGUAGGGGGCGUGAGAGCGUGACCCCCCACACUGGUACUGAUACACGGACCAGAUACCUACGGGUAGCAGCAGCGAGGAAUAUUGCGCAAUGGGCGAAAGCCUGACGCAGCAACGCCGCGUGGAGGAUGAAGGCCUUCGGGUUGUAAACUCCUUUUUUGAGAGAAUAGAAAGGAAGGUAUCUCAAGAAUAAGCUCCGGCUAACUACGUGCCAGCAGCCGCGGUAAUACGUAGGGAGCAAGCGUUAUCCGGAUUUACUGGGCGUAAAGCGCACGCAGGCGGUCUUGUAAGUUGGAUGUGAAAGCCCUCGGCUUAACUGAGGGAUGCCAUUCAAUACUGCGAGGCUGGAGAGUGACAGAGGAGAGUAGAAUUCCCGGUGUAGUAGUGAAUGCUU
RNAcentral lists this ribosomal RNA (655 nucleotides) under uncultured bacterium. RNAcentral's name for it is "bacterial SSU rRNA". It matches the Rfam family "Bacterial small subunit ribosomal RNA", at positions 9 to 691 of the family's 1533-position model. The record is from RNAcentral.